RNAcentral lists this ribosomal RNA (536 nucleotides) under uncultured bacterium. RNAcentral's name for it is "bacterial SSU rRNA". It matches the Rfam family "Bacterial small subunit ribosomal RNA", at positions 8 to 526 of the family's 1533-position model. The record is from RNAcentral.
AGAGUUUGAUCCUGGCUCAGAGCGAACGUUAGCGGCGGGCUUAACACAUGCAAGUCGAGCGAGAAAGGGGCUUCGGCCCUGAGUAAAGCGGCGGACGGGUGAGUAACACGUAGGUAAUCUUCCCUUGAGCGGGGGACAACGGUCCGAAAGGACCGCUAAUACCGCAUACGUUUCCGAGGAUCUCGGUUCUUGGAAGGAAAGCUAGGCCGCAAGGUCCGGCACUCGAGGAGGAGCCUGCGUCGCAUCAGCUAGUUGGUGGGGUAAUGGCCUACCAAGGCGAAGACGCGUAGCUGGUCUGAGAGGAUGAUCAGCCACACUGGGACUGAGACACGGCCCAGACUCCUACGGGAGGCAGCAGUGGGGAAUAUUGGACAAUGGGCGAAAGCCUGAUCCAGCCACGCCGCGUGAGUGAUGAAGGCCUUCGGGUCGUAAAGCUCUGUGGGGAGGGACGAACCGCUGCGCGUUCAUAGCGCGCAGCAUGACGGUACCUCCUUAGCAAGCACCGGCUAACUUCGUGCCAGCAGCCGCGGUAAUAC